Molecule: ribosomal RNA, 294 nt
Filed under: uncultured bacterium
Lineage: Bacteria
Description: partial 16S ribosomal RNA
Rfam family: Bacterial small subunit ribosomal RNA
Source: RNAcentral
GGAUUAGAUACCCUGGUAGUCCACGCCGUAAACGAUGAUAACUAGUUGUUGGGAGGCUUAGACCUCUUUGUGACGAAGCUAACGCGAUAAGUUAUCCGCCUGGGGAGUACGGUCGCAAGACUAAAACUCAAAGGAAUUGACGGGGGCCCGCACAAGCGGUGGAGCAUGUGGUUUAAUUCGAUGCAACGCGAAAAACCUUACCUACCCUUGACAUCCUCAGAACUUGUUAGAGAUAACUUGGUGCCUUCGGGAAUUGAGUGACAGGUGCUGCAUGGCUGUCGUCAGCUCGUGCUG